Non-coding RNA from Ciona intestinalis (vase tunicate), 90 nucleotides. The record is from Rfam. NCBI's taxonomy places the organism in Eukaryota, Metazoa, Chordata, Ascidiacea, Phlebobranchia, Cionidae.
CCUUCGAUAGCUCAGUUGGUAGAGCGGUGGACUGUAGCGGUUCAACUGUCAGAUAUCCAUAGGUCACUGGUUCGAAUCCGGUUCGAAGGA